GCCCUGGGUUCAAUCUCCAAGUACCACAAAAAACCACAAACAAACAAAGAUUGGAACUUGAAUCCUGGUUGUCUGGCUGGAAAAGCCAUGAUGAUAUUAACCACCCACUGUACUGAAUUCUGGUAAGAUUAGAUAAAAUUAGACAUCAGAUGAUUUUUCUUGAAAACAAAUUCAUAGAGCAGGUUCUGGGUACUUAUUUGCAUAGGUCAGAUUCUCUCAUUACUGAUGUGUGGAAAGAGGCAAGUUGACCACAUUAUGACUAGCAAGAGGGGCUGGAAGGUAGAAAACUGGAGGCAAAAUAGCACAAGGAGGCCGGGUACCUUCCUUGGAGGCAGUGGUGUUGGUAAAUAAUUAACAAUAGGUUGGGGGGGAAAGGUGUGUGUGUGGGGGUAGCAAGGCUUGAUUAGUAAGUAGCAUUUGCCAAAUGCCAAUAUGCAUGGCAUAAAUACUACUAUGGCUUAUUUCAAGAUGCCAACCUGUCUUGGGGGAGAAACUGGGAAAAGAUGCUAAUUGGCUCUGAUGCAGCUACAUCAGUGCCAGUGGGGGAGACUCCAAGAAUAUUCUAGACUCAAGCUCAGAAAGAUAUUUGGUUAACAGGCAACUGAUAGGAGGUAGAUACAGCACGAGUGUGCAGAGUAGGAAAGGGUCUGCACCCAGCCCAAGCCUCAGCGUUUCCUGGCAGCAUCCUCCCUGUGCAAGAUACAAUGUGCAGAGUCCUUCAAACUAGUUUCAUUACUGCUUUCCUUUGCUGUGUGAGUUUUAACUUUCAGCAUCCUAUUUAUGCAUCAGUGGGGCCUUUUCUUUCACUUAUGUCUCAGGCAGACCAUGGAGACAGAUCACUUGCCUGUAUUUUCCAAGAGCCUUGUCCUUCGAUAAAGCUGCUUUACCUGGCUAAGCUUUCAAAAGAAAUAAAGAAUCGAGUAGGUUAUUUACCUCUUUGGCCACUCUCAGUAAUUUUUAAACCUCAGUUCUUAUCCACUGUCCUGGCCAUCUGUGCCAUGCAAUGUAAACAAGCACAAAGGGCUGAUUAGCCUGCAGAGCACAGGCCAGCACCGCAGAGUGGAGAAACUCUUAGACCCACCCAAUUUCAUGGUGUAUAUAUUUGAUCACUGCCACCAGGCUUGUUGGAAAUGCAUCCUCCUGACCCUGGUCAGUCAC
Molecule: long non-coding RNA, 1158 nt
Filed under: Heterocephalus glaber (naked mole-rat)
Lineage: Eukaryota; Metazoa; Chordata; Mammalia; Rodentia; Bathyergidae
Description: lncRNA (ENSHGLG00100048296.1)
Source: RNAcentral